RNAcentral lists this ribosomal RNA (473 nucleotides) under uncultured organism. RNAcentral's name for it is "partial 16S ribosomal RNA". It matches the Rfam family "Bacterial small subunit ribosomal RNA", at positions 331 to 796 of the family's 1533-position model. The record is from RNAcentral.
GUACACUCCUGCGGGAGGCAGCAGUGGGGAAUUUUGGACAAUGGGCGAAAGCCUGAUCCAGCAAUGCCGCGUGAGUGAAGAAGGCCUUCGGGUUGUAAAGCUCUUUUGUCAGGGAAGAAACGGUGAAAGCUAAUAUCUUUUGCUAAUGACGGUACCUGAAGAAUAAGCACCGGCUAACUACGUGCCAGCAGCCGCGGUAAUACGUAGGGUGCAAGCGUUAAUCGGAAUUACUGGGCGUAAAGCGUGCGCAGGCGGUUUUGUAAGUCUGAUGUGAAAUCCCCGGGCUCAACCUGGGAAUUGCAUUGGAGACUGCAAGGCUAGAAUCCGGCAGAGGGGGGUAGAAUUCCACGUGUAGCAGUGAAAUGCGUAGAUAUGUGGAGGAACACCGAUGGCGAAGGCAGCCCCCUGGGUCAAGAUUGACGCUCAUGCACGAAAGCGUGGGGAGCAAACAGGAUUAGAUACCCUUGUAGUCC